RNAcentral lists this long non-coding RNA (4248 nucleotides) under Lactuca sativa (garden lettuce). Its description in RNAcentral is "long non-coding RNA (LSAT_LNC008491)". Lineage: Eukaryota; Viridiplantae; Streptophyta; Magnoliopsida; Asterales; Asteraceae. The record is from RNAcentral.
UAGCUAUAGACUUAGUGUCUAACAAAUAACAUCGACAGCUAUGGACUUAGUGCCUAUUGGACAAACACUGGUAGCUAUGGACUUAGUACCUGUUAGGAAUUGGUAGCUAUGGACUUAGUACCUAUUAGAUAAACACUGGUAGCUAUGGAUUAAGUACCCAACAGCUAUGGAAUUAGUGCUUUACGAACGGGUAUUGGCAACUAUGGAUUUAGUGCCAGUCCUAUAACCCUAGAAGCGAAGGACUUCAAAAUGAACGAAUGCAGGAUAGAUGACUCUUAGGGUAGACUCUUAAGAGUAAGGAAGAUAAUAGGGAUGGGUAAUUAGGUUGAUUGUUUGAUUGUUUAAACAUAACAAUUAUAUUAUUGUGGGUUGAAAAUCCUAUGUACUCCCCAGGUUUCCCAACCUGACCCACUCAAUUUAUUUAUAUUACAGGUGUUGAGAUGAAGUCACAUUACAUUGAGAGAUUAAAGAGAUGUAGAUCACUAGUGUAAAUAAAUGUAAGUUCUGUUUAUGCUUAUGUUUUUGUAUUGACGAUGACAUCCCAAAUGUUUUAAAACGAAUUAAAAAUACUUUUCUUCGGAAAUGCGUUGAUAAUGUAUUUAUCAUGUUUUACUGGGAACAAAUUCCGCAACGUUUUUAUUAAAAUAGGUACUCUGAUUUUUAUAAAGCAUAAACAAAAUUGGUCUUUUCUGGCCGUGAAAAUGGGGAUGUCACAGUUGUUAUCAGAGCAUUAGUUUAAGCGAACUAGGAAUAAGAAUUUAUUUCUAGACUUAAACUUAGAAUGCGAAGCGAUGAUUGUGAGAUGAGUGUCUGCUAUAAUUUAGACACGAGCACUAGUUUAUUUUUGGAAAAUGCCUAAAAUGUUUUAUGUGCUAAAUGAUUUAUUUUAUAACUAUAAAGAUGCCUUAUAUGCUGUUAUUUGUUCAGAUCUAUGGUUUGUUGCCGACCGGAUCUGGAAACCAUAUGUGUUCAGGAUUCUAAGCGUAUGAUUACGACAUUAGAACUAGCAUGUAACGUUUCGGUGUGACAAGGAGAUUUAUACAUCUAUCGUAAAUAAAAUCUUUCCUAUCUUAAAUUCUCGUCUCGGUACACCAAGCGUCUGCUUGGGUGUACAAAACAAGAGGAAGAUGACAACCUGAGCCUAAGAAUGUGAUGGGUCAUACAUCGGUCGUUGCGCCUACACCCGAACCUAUCACAAUGGCAGAAGUUCAGGAAGUGAUGCGAACCAUGAUAGACUGAGAAAAUAGAGGAAAUGAGAUGGCUUACGAUGCUGAAUGAUACCAAUCAAAAGAUAUCAUAAGAGAGGUAUCUUGCCUUUAGAAUACGUCUAAUAAAAUAGUUGUACGUCUAUAGAAGUUGGGUACAUCUGAAUGUACACAUUUGAUUGGCGGGAUGAUAGAACGAUUGAUGUAAUUCCUAAAGUUUUCCUAUCAUCUGGAAUGUCCAUCACCAACCGAGUGGAAGCAAAAUUGAUGAUUGAAGAUAUGCAUGGAAGAAGUCCUAGUAGAGUCUAGGGAAAUUUUUAUGAUUAUUUUGGACACACUCGUAUGUGUUAAAUUGUUUCGUGAUUUUAGGACUUGGGGACUGCGAGACAAUACUUGGGACGAGUAUGAGUAGGUGUGAAAGGUAGUAGAUGCAUAUACUACCGGAAGCACAGGACUCACGCUUGGAUCAGGGAAAGUCACAAGGUUACCAAGAAGCUAGUAAUUAAUACCGUUUUAUUCAAGUAUGUCGUUACCAUCGUUUUGGUAAUGACUAAAAAGAUUGUUGAUAUUCCGACCCUAGUGGUCAUAUAGAAUGGAGUCCAACUACACUGAGUAUGCUAUGUGGUUUAGAAAAUCAAGUUCGAUGUAGCAUUUGACUUAAGACGGAAGACUGGAAUAAAAAGCGAUUAGUAGAGGUAGCACGAAAAGUUGCUUGUAGCUAGAAAUGCUACCUUUUAAAAUGUGAUUAUAUCACAUUAGAACAUGAAGGAAGGUAUAGUAUGUUUUGGAAUAUAACUAUAAGAGACCUGAGUCUAAACGUGCAUCACACGAUGGUAGGUCAUAAUUUGGAGUCUAACCUAAGAUAGAAAGCAGAUGCACGAUCGAGUAUUGCUUACAGUCAAUAAGUCUAAGAGAUAGACUUGAAGGAAUAUAGAAGUUAUAAUUAUUACCAAGAAUGAAGAGAUGACGUAUGGAGUCAUUAUACGAGCCCUGUUUCAUUGAUGAUUCCGGGACGUAAUCAUCCUAAGGGGGGAGAUAAUUGUAAAGCCCGUAGAUCCGGGCUAGUCAAUUUAGAGGCAAUAAGUGUCGAAAAUGACUUUUUGGCAAAAUAUUAUUUAGAAUAAAUAAUCUUAACCAAGUUGUAGUAUAUGUUACAAGGUUUCCGUACAUAUAAAGACCGCCGAAAUCCGAGUUAUUACGAAGAAGUUAUAACACGUCGAAGUUUCGCGACGGAACCAACACGAUACCGGGAAACGUAAGUAGUGAAUUUACGAUAGAGCAAGAUUUAGCCUUACCGAUCUAAACGAAAGUCGUAGAAUAUGUUAAACCGAAAGCGUCCAUAAAAAGAACGUCCAAAUCUGACUUCGUAUGAGGAAGUUAUGAUUUUUCGAAGUUUCAGAUUAGCAGUGUACAACCCGAAAUUCGAAUAUUAGAUCGAGCAGUUUUUAGCCAACACAACCUAAACGAGAAUCAAAGAUCACAUUGUUAGUAGCGUAACGAUAAAAAGACAUACGAAAUGGACAUCGGAUGCAGAAGUUAUGAGAUUUUAACAGACCAAUCCUAUCCCGGCCUGUUAAAAAUAUAACUUUAAAAAUAAAGUCAAAUUUAGCCGAUGGAGUCUAAACGAAAGUUGUAAAGUACGUCUCCACCUACGCGUGGAUAUAAAUAACGUUAAAAAUGGAGUUCGUAUGAACAAGUUACAAAUUAUGAUAACAUAUUUACGUAUAAAAUAAUGUAUAAAUCAUAUAUACGUGCACAUAUAUAUACAUAUGUAUAUAUAUCAUUAGAAAGGUAUCGACCGAGCAUUUCGGUCCCUUGUGAUUCGACUUCUUUUUCUGUAGUUUUAGUAUAGUAAAGUGAGCGCUGAAGCGCUGCAUGAAUCUUUCUUAGAAAAUUCAACGACGAAGUUCUGCCCCUGCAGAGCCCGACUCCUAGCUUAAAUCCUCUUGUAAGUAAGUUAUGCUUACCCUAUUUUAAAUAUAGUUUAUAUUUAAAACUAGUAUUGUUAUUAUAUAUUUAUAAUAAAUAUUUGAGCUAUUAUUAUGACUUAUAUAAGUGUCAUUAUAAUAUCUUUUUAACUACUUGCAGUACGGGGAAUCUGGUUUAAAGGGCCGCAUAGGGUUGUUGGAUUUCAAAAGUGUUAUACGCCAAAAUGGUCUUGUCCUCUGGUGUUUUAUGUCUGGCCCCUGUCUGUACAUAGUGGUUGGAAAGUAUUGUUUAAACGCUUAUAUAAUAAUAAUAAUAAGACUAAUAAUUAGUCACGGUAAAUAUNUAAUAAUAAUAAUAAUAAUAAUAAUAAUAAUAAUAAUAAUAAUAAUAAUAAUAAUAAUAAUAAUAAUAAGACUAAUAAUUAGUCACGGUAAAUAUUAGACUAAAAUCUAGUGGUAAUAAUACUAGGUUUCGUCGAAGAAAAUUAUUUUAAAGUAAACGAAGCACUGUCCGAGUACUGAGUCACCACCUUCUCAGGUGAGUGCAUAGUUACUUUCAUCUUACACAUAGAUAUGAAGUAUUUUAUAUAAACUACGUGCUAUGUGUGCAUAUUAUCUAAAUACUUGCUAUCUAUGCUGGAUGAACGUUUUUAUACAUGUUUUAAAUGAUUUAAACUAUAUACGUAUUUUAUAUAUACAAAUAUGUUGGAUAUGACAUGGGUAGAUGAAUGAUGAGAGAUAAAGGAUGAUGUGAGUAAACAUUGGUAGCUAUAGACUUAGUGCCUAACAAAUAACAUCGGCAACUAUGGACCUAGUGCCUAUUGGACAAACACUAGUAGCUAUGGACUUAGUACCUGUUAGGAAUUGGUAGCUACGGACUAAGUACCUAUUAGAUAAAUACUGGUAGCUAUGGAUUAAGUACCCAACAGCUAUGGAAUUAGUGCUUUACGAACGGGUAUUGGCAGCUAUGGAUUUAGUGCCAGUCCUAUAACCCUAGAAGCAAGGGACCUCGGAAUAAACGAAUGCAGGAUAGAUGACUCUUAGGGUAGACUCUUAAGAGUAAGGAAGAUAAUAGGGAUGGGUAAUUAGGUUGAUUGUUUGAUUGUUUAAACAUA